RNAcentral lists this ribosomal RNA (459 nucleotides) under uncultured bacterium. RNAcentral describes it as "partial 16S ribosomal RNA". It matches the Rfam family "Bacterial small subunit ribosomal RNA", at positions 338 to 795 of the family's 1533-position model. The record is from RNAcentral.
CCUACGGGUGGCAGCAGUGAGGAAUAUUGGUCAAUGGCCGGAAGGCUGAACCAGCCAAGCCGCGUGAAGGACGAAGGUGCCAAGCAUUGUAAACUUCUUUUGUCAAGGGACAAAAUCAGGCUCGAGAGCCUGACCGAGGGUACUUGAAGAAAAAGCAUCGGCUAACUCCGUGCCAGCAGCCGCGGUAAUACGGAGGAUGCGAGCGUUAUCCGGAUUUAUUGGGUUUAAAGGGUGCGUAGGCGGGCUGUUAAGUCAGCGGUAAAAGCCCGGGGCUCAACCCCGGCGAGCCGUUGAAACUGGCUGUCGUGAGGUGUCGAGAGGUAUGCGGAAUGCGCAGUGUAGCGGUGAAAUGCUUAGAUAUUGCGCAGAACUCCGAUUGCGAAGGCAGCAUACCGGCGGCGAUCUGACGCUGAGGCACGAAAGCGUGGGUAUCGAACAGGAUUAGAUACCCGAGUAGUC